AGUGGCGGACGGGUGAGUAACGCGUGAGAAUCUGCCUUGGGGUCGGGGACAACCACUGGAAACGGUGGCUAAUACCGGAUAAGCCGAUUGGUGAAAGAUUUAUUGCCCGAAGAGGAGCUCGCGUCUGAUUAGCUAGUUGGUGAGGUAAGAGCUCACCAAGGCAGCGAUCAGUAGCUGGUCUGAGAGAACGAUCAGCCACACUGGGACUGAGACACGGCCCAGACUCCUACGGGAGGCAGCAGUGGGGAAUUUUCCGCAAUGGGCGAAAGCCUGACGGAGCAAGACCGCGUGAGGGAGGAAGGCUCUUGGGUUGUAAACCUCUUUUCUCAGGGAAGAAGCUCUGACGGUACCUGAGGAAUCAGCCUCGGCUAACUCCGUGCCAGCAGCCGCGGUAAUACGGAGGAGGCAAGCGUUAUCCGGAAUUAUUGGGCGUAAAGCGUCCGCAGGUGGCGAUUCAAGUCUGCUGUCAAAGCACGGGGCUUAACUCCGUAAAGGCAGUGGAAACUGAAUAGCUAGAGUGCCGUAGGGGUAGAGGGAAUUCCCGGUGUAGCGGUGAAAUGCGUAGAGAUCGGGAAGAACAUCGGUGGCGAAAGCGCUCUACUGGACGGCAACUGACACUCAGGGACGAAAGCUAGGGGAGCGAAUGGGAUUAGAUACCCC
Molecule: ribosomal RNA, 660 nt
Filed under: uncultured bacterium
Lineage: Bacteria
Description: bacterial SSU rRNA
Rfam family: Bacterial small subunit ribosomal RNA
Source: RNAcentral